GAGUUUGAUCAUGGCUCAGAUUGAACGCUGGCGGCAGGCCUAACACAUGCAAGUCGAGCGGUAACAGAGAGAAGCUUGCUUCUUUGCUGACGAGCGGCGGACGGGUGAGUAAUACUUGGGAACUUGCCUCUAGGCGGGGGACAACCACUGGAAACGGUGGCUAAUACCGCAUAAUGUCUACGGACCAAAGUGGGGGACCUUCGGGCCUCACACCUAGAGAUGGACCCAAGUGGGAUUAGCUAGUUGGUGAGGUAAAGGCUCACCAAGGCGACGAUCCCUAGCUGUUCUGAGAGGAUGAUCAGCCACACUGGGACUGAGACACGGCCCAGACUCCUACGGGAGGCAGCAGUGGGGAAUAUUGCACAAUGGGCGCAAGCCUGAUGCAGCCAUGCCGCGUGUGUGAAGAAGGCCUUCGGGUUGUAAAGCACUUUCAGUGGUGAGGAAGGUCAGUAAGUUAAUAGCUUGCUGAAUUGACGUUAGCCACAGAAGAAGCACCGGCUAACUCCGUGCCAGCAGCCGCGUUAC
This 525-nucleotide ribosomal RNA is filed under the name uncultured Gammaproteobacteria bacterium. Its description in RNAcentral is "bacterial SSU rRNA". It matches the Rfam family "Bacterial small subunit ribosomal RNA", at positions 9 to 523 of the family's 1533-position model. Lineage: Bacteria; Pseudomonadati; Pseudomonadota; Gammaproteobacteria. The record is from RNAcentral.